RNAcentral lists this ribosomal RNA (402 nucleotides) under uncultured bacterium. Its description in RNAcentral is "partial 16S ribosomal RNA". It matches the Rfam family "Bacterial small subunit ribosomal RNA", at positions 355 to 774 of the family's 1533-position model. The record is from RNAcentral.
UGGGGAAUAUUGGACAAUGGGCGAAAGCCUGAUCCAGCCAUGCCGCAUGAGUGAAGAAGGCCUUUGGGUUGUAAAGCUCUUUUAGUGAGGAAGAUAAUGACGGUACUCACAGAAGAAGUCCUGGCUAACUCCGUGCCAGCAGCCGCGGUAAUACGGAGAGGGCUAGCGUUAUUCGGAAUUAUUGGGCGUAAAGGGCGCGUAGGCUGGUUAAUAAGUUAAAAGUGAAAUCCCGAGGCUUAACCUUGGAAUUGCUUUUAAAACUAUUAAUCUAGAGAUUGAAAGAGGAUAGAGGAAUUCCUGAUGUAGAGGUAAAAUUCGUAAAUAUUAGGAGGAACACCAGUGGCGAAGGCGUCUAUCUGGUUCAAAUCUGACGCUGAAGCGCGAAAGCGUGGGGAGCAAACA